GUUGACCUCGGAUCAGGUAG
This 20-nucleotide ribosomal RNA is filed under the name Colletotrichum truncatum. Its description in RNAcentral is "partial 28S ribosomal RNA". RNAcentral also lists the same sequence under 52 other names. The record is from RNAcentral. Lineage: Eukaryota; Fungi; Ascomycota; Sordariomycetes; Glomerellales; Glomerellaceae.